Molecule: RNA transcript, 8608 nt
Organism: Acanthopagrus latus (yellowfin seabream)
Lineage: Eukaryota; Metazoa; Chordata; Actinopteri; Spariformes; Sparidae
Gene name: diacylglycerol kinase theta
Exons: 24
Source: RefSeq, a predicted model, not a curated record
GUUCUCCUCUCCUCCUCCUGAUGAUAUAAAGUCCUCCUUUCCUCCUCCUUUCCUCCUCAUCUGCUGUGAUCACAGUCUGCAGGAGAGAACACAUCACAACCUGAUCUGAGACCAGAUUCACACCUUUAUUAACAUGAAGGCUUCACUAGAGCUGCUGUCGUCUGCUGACACCGGACCAAACGAUCGUCAUCUUUGUCCACAGGAGGCGCCAGAAUCGACAAAAAUUCAAGUUCCUCGUCACUUAAAGUAAAACUGUACAUGUACUUCGCAUAUUGUUGAAUUUUGUAUAGUUAUAAAUCUAUUUUCUACGUUGUAUGUUUUCUGUGUUUGAAGCUUAUACGAUUGUAGAUUGUAAAAGUAAAUUAUAUAUUUUACAAAAGAACGAUGACAACGGAGACAAUAAGAAGCUGAAAUUGUCUUAACACGUCCAAAACAUACAUUUAAAAAAAGACAAGCUCAGUUUUUUUUCUAAAAACACAAAUGUUGAUGUCACGAUGCUGCUUAUUGAUGUUGUGUUGUCACAGUUUGUGUUUUCUUCCACGUGUGAACAAAAUACAAGCAAAGAAACAUUUAACUUAUUAAAUUACUCUUCAUUCUAAACAUGUGUAAUAUGACAAAUUGUUUCGAAAGAAAACAAAGUUCUGUUUUUGUUGUUUUUUCAAUCAAAUCACAAUAAAUUGAAGGAGCGUUAUGUAGUUUUGUUGAAGAAAUGUUCAUGAGAAGAGAAAGAUCCUCAGACAGAAUCAAACUCUCUUCAUGUCCAUGACUGAAUAGACUGAAUCAACACACUGACCUUAAAUUAGCUUUACUGUGUUUAUAUGUGGUGGACCCUGCCACCUUUCUAGCUUCGACCUUAUUUUCCUGUGAGAGCAGGGGGUUUAUUCACUUAUUAGCUCAUUAUCAUUGUAAAUAUCAAAACUUGAAUUUCUGCUAUAAACUCCACAGAGCUGCUUUAUUCAUAAAUACACUCCAGACAUGAGUAAGGUGAUAAAUUAUUAUUUAAGAAAACACAAAAUAUAAAGAAACAAUGUAGUAAUUUAAAAACAGGACCAGGCUCAGGGCGGAUGUUUGAACACAUCUCAGGAUCUAAAUACAGUUCAUCCAAACAACAAACACCGAGGAAGGAGGUGAGUAAAGACAAAGAAGAAGGAAGGGGGGGAAAGGAGGAAGUUGAUGGGGCAGAAGAACAUGAAACAUUCAUUUACUGAGAUUCAGCACAGUGAUGAGGAGGGAGGAGAGAGGAGGGAAGGAAUGAAGGAAGGAAGGAAAGAGACGAGGAGGGGGGAGGAGGAGGAGUAAAUCAGUGUUGGAGACUCUGACGCGGAAGAAGAAUUAGCCUCGGAGGAGGAAGAAGAAACCCAAAAUGAAAGCUUCCUCUCCGGCUCACUUCACACUUGUUGAAUAACGUUGAGCUCCAGCAGCCCCGCGGAGAUCAACGUCCCCCCGCCGCCGGUCUGCGGAGUGUUUCUACCGGCUGUGGAGCUGCUCGAUGCGGACAGACGAGCCCAUCGUUACUGAAGCAUUUGACUGAAAUUAUCGUCAUUGAUCCGUCUGACAUCAGGCUGCCGCGGACACACUCAGCAUCCAGCUUCACCGGCUCGAUAUUUCAUCUUUUAUUCAUCGAGCUUCCCGAGCGUGCAGCUCCGGAAACACGCCGGAGCGCAGCGCCCUCUCCCUCGCGCGGCGCCGCUGGGUGGCACCGCUGUCUCUGGCGGAGGAGCUCUGAUCUCGGCGUGGUGGACGGUCUCUCCGUGAGAGGACGACGUCGAGAGGCUUGGAUACCGAGCUGCCUCGCCGGGAAACCUACUCUUUGUUAGAGGAAGGUGGAUGCAUCAAUAUUUCAGGAGUUUGAUUUUUAUCUUGUGAGGCGGCAAGGUUCAGGAGACGCGCCGGCCCCAGCGCCCUCUCUGCCGGGCAGCACCGCUGUGUGGCACCGCUGGGUCCGGCCGAUGGGAUGACUCUCCACCGGCGGUUACCGACGUCACAUUUACCAGAAAACUAAUCUCAUUUGGAUCAGAAACUCGUGACCUGGCAGCCUGUUCUGUACUUCUGGACCUGGAUAAUUAGCUUCUGAAGCGGGGGCAGCUCCAGCACUCACACCGAGCUCGGCGCCUGUUCGUCGGGCGGAGCCACUGAGUUCGGCCCGAUGGGAUGCCUCUUCAGUGGGAAUCUUUAGGAGGGAUCCGGACUUCUCUGCGCUAGAGGUUAAACCUGUCGCACCGUGUUCUGUCGGUGUGUGUGUGUGCGUGUGUGUGUGGUCGGGUAGGAGGACAUGGCCGACUCCGGCCGGGGCAGACCGGCGGACCCCGACGCUGCGGACGGCCGGACAUCGAGCCCCCUGACGGUGAAGAAGAGGGCGCAGCAGUCCCCUGGUCUCCGGCCCAAGUACCAGAGCUCCGCACAGGGACACUGCCUCAGGAAAGUGACCCUGACCAAACCCACCUUCUGCCACAGCUGCAGCGACUUCAUCUGGGGGCUAGUGGGCUUCUUGUGUGAAGUGUGUAACUUCAUGUGUCACGAGAAAUGUCUGAAGACGCUGCGCUCGGUUUGCUCCUGCAUGACUCCAUCUUCAGUCCGGGUCCCGGUGGCUCAUUGCUUCGGACCGGCGGGUCAAAAGAAACGUUUCUGCUGCGUCUGUAGGAAGCAAACAGAGGGAAACACGGCACUGCGCUGCGAAGUGUGUGAGCUGCACGUCCAUGCUGACUGUGCUGCGUUCAGCUGUGCAGACUGUCGCAGGACUCACCUGGACUUCACUCUGGAGCAGGAUACGUUUCACCACCACUGGAGGGAGGGCAACCUGGCGUCAGGGGCGAGGUGUGAGGUGUGUCGACGGUCCUGCGGUUCUUCUGACGUCCUGGCUGGGAUGAGGUGUGAGUGGUGCGGCUGCACGAGCCACGCAGCGUGUUACCUCAGCGUGCCACCAGAGUGCACUCUGGGACGUCUGCGCUGCAUGCUGCUGCAUCCGGCCUGCAUCCGCCUUGACUUCAGAAACUUCAGCAAGAUGCACUGCUACCGCAUCACGGAGAGCUGCAGCCACGAGCUGGAUAACUCAGAUGAUGUCGAUCCAUCUGCUGCUGUGUCUAAAGACGGUCAGCCGGCUGCUCCAGAGUCAGGGAAACAGUUUCUUAAGGUGUUUGAUGGCGAUGAUGCGAUCAAGCGCGGCUUCUUCCGAUUGGUCUCCAUCCUUCGAGCCACGAGGAAUGAGGAAGUGGUGGAGGCGGCACUGAGGGCCUUCUACCUCCCUGAUGAACCUCAGAACUUCGAGCUGCACGAGAUUGGCGGCCUGCAGCAUCUCCAUAGCGACGACAUUCUCAACCGUAACGGUGGUCCGGACAACAAGAGCUCCCUGAAGGACGGAGGGGACGCCUGGCUGCUGAGGGCCAAACCACGAGACGCUGAGGUCAUUAAGGUGUACGCAGGCUGGCCCAGGUCGGGCGCAGCUUUUGUCUCUGUGUCCGUGUCUCAGAGCAGCUCGGCAGCCUCUGUCCUCACUGAGGUCCUCAGUCAGCUGGACAGACAGGAGGAAGAUGUGUCCAGUUUCAGCCUGCUGGAGGUUUGCAUGAACAGCAAGCAAGUCCAGAGACAGACGCUGACUCCUCAGGAGAAGAUUCUGGAGAAGCUGCAGGAGAUCAGGAAGGUGUCUCUGCGUCAGAUGAACCAGACUCGGUUCUACAUCGUGGAGAACAGGAACUGGGCGCUGCAGGUCCGCCUGCUGAUUGGAGGACUGCCCCCCCUGCUGACGAAAGAGGAGUACGUCCAACUGAUCGAGGAACACCUGACCAUCAAGAGUCACCUGGUCACCGUCAGCCACAUCUACACCAGUCAAGGUGCGGUGGCGUUGCAAGUCUCAUGUUUCUCUGAAGCAGAGAGGAUCUACAUGUUGGCUAAAGACACAGCGGUCAACAACAAGACGCUCACUUCACUCGUCAUCCCAGAGAUCCAGGUCAACAAGCUUGCUGCAGACGUCUGUCCUCUUCUGGUGUUCGUCAACCCAAAGAGCGGCGGUCUGAAAGGCAGAGAGCUUCUGUACAGCUUCAGGAAACUUCUGAACCCCCACCAGGUCUUUGACAUCUCCAACGGAGGACCGCUGGCUGGCCUCCACACAUUUCAGGAGGUUCCCCAUUUCCGGGUGCUGGUCUGUGGCGGAGAUGGGACGGUGGGCUGGGUUCUGGGAGUACUGGAGGCUGUCCGGCACAAACUGGUGUGUCGAGAGCCGCCGAUCGGCAUCGUUCCGCUGGGAACAGGUAAUGACUUGGCUCGUAUCCUGCGCUGGGGAGCGGGUUACAGCAGCGAGGACCCGCACCACAUACUGGUCUCCUUGGAUGAGGCCGACGAGGUUCUGAUGGACCGGUGGACCAUCCUGCUGGACGCUCAGGACAUCUCUGAAGAUGGCAAGGACAACGGCUUCCUAGAGCCUCCCAAGAUUGUGCAGAUGAACAACUACUUCGGUCUCGGGAUCGACGCAGAGCUCAGCCUGGACUUCCACCAGGCCAGAGAGGACGAACCGGAUAAAUUCACCAGCAGGUUCCAUAACAAAGGCGUGUACGUGAAGGUCGGCCUGCAGAAGAUCAGCUACACCAGGAGUCUCCACAAAGAGCUGCAGCUUCAGGUGGACGCUCAGAACGUCCCGCUACCCAACAUAGAGGGACUGAUCUUCCUCAACAUACCCAGCUGGGGUUCUGGUGCAGAUCUCUGGGGGUCUGAAGUCGACGGUCGCUAUGGGAAACCAAGCAUCGAUGACGGGCUGCUGGAGGUGGUUGGGGUCACCGGGGUCGUCCACAUGGGCCAGGUGCAGAGUGGUAUGCGGUCAGGGAUUCGUAUUGCUCAAGGGAACUACAUCAGGCUGACGGUCAGUAAACCCAUACCUGUCCAAGUGGACGGAGAGCCGUGGAUCCAACCGCCGGGACACAUCAUCAUCUCUGCUGCUGGACCAAAGGUUCGGAUGUUGAGGAAGUCAAAGCAGAAGCAGAAGAAGUCUUCAGCAGUGAAGGACGGACGUUCAGAGAGUCCUUCAUCCAGAGAUGGAGGACACUAACCGCCACCACUGAGACUCAGUGACCUGCCCUUUACCUGCUUCCUGCUGAAACUGGGAGCCAUUUUGGUGCGAGCAACCAGCUGGGAUUUCACUCAUGCAGCUUUGUAGCGACGCUGAUGGGCCACCGAUCGACUGGGAGACUGACAGCGGUUUACCUGUCACCCUCUGCACACGGUGGGAGGAGUUAGUUUGGCCCAGCUGGGAUGUCAUAUCCAUCCUGCUGACUAAAUACGUACAGAAUUCACCAUAAGCAGAGUCCAUGUUCAGCAGCUAAAAGUGACUGUUUUUACGUAAAGAGCAAAAGUAACAAGUAAUUAAUAGACUCACUUCUUCUUCUACAUAGAUUAAUAAAGAGUUAUUAUGGAAUUUUGACAAUUUCUCAGUAUGGAUAAGCUUCAGAGUUGAAAAAAAAAUCUAUAGAAGUAUUUAACAUAAGUUGUAACAUUUCAUGUGACUGUAUUUGUACCACUGACAUUUGUUGACUCAGUGUCAGUGGAUAUGGUGUAAUAUCUGUAGUCGUGAAAAAUAAUGUGCAGCUAUAGAGUGAAUAUGACCUCAGUGUGUUCAGAUGGAGAAUAUGAAGUAGUGAAUACUGAAGCACUCCUUAGAAACAGACAGACGGUUUCUGUAAGAAACUGUGAACAUGUUAUGUUUAUCUGAUCCAGGACUCUGUGGGCACUGAGCUUUCUUACUCUGUGAAAUCCUUCAGUGACAGUGGUCUAAAAUAACACCCUGCAAUGAAGCUAAUGAGAAUCCCCGACCUUGAAACCACAGUGCCCACUGGAACUGGAAGGUUCACGCCAGUCAGGGAAGUGAUAAAGCCUAAAGCACAGUUUGUAUUCUAGCAGAUGGAAAGUGUAGUAAACUGUAAACGGGAUGCUUGAAUCCUGCUGUCAGUGUUUGUUUUUGUACAAAACAUAAUCUCUUUAUAUUAGCAUAGCAUAUGGCAAAGUAAAAGUGGCCAAGUUAGCAGCCUUCGCUCAACAAGUUUGGAUCAGCAUGAGAAGAACAGCUGACCUUAACAUAAGCUGUAAAGUGCUGAAGCAGUUAACAGAUCAUCAAAAAUGCUAAAAGAUACUGUUGGAUUUAGCAAAAACUAGCUUGUUUAAUUAGCAUUAAUACGUUGGCUUAAAUUACGUUGAGCCUGUACUUCGAGCCUGUACCGAUCAUCGGUCACACAAUCGAAUCUACUUGUCCAAAUUUUUCCAGUAUGACCUUAACUUGAAAGGAAGACGGCGUUGUUGAAGAUGACGCGAGCUUUACAGUGUUUAUAGGUCAUGCUAACAUGCAGCAUCUGUGAUGUCUGUCAGACUUUCUCUCUUGUCUGUCUGACUGCAGUUGGCCUGUUGAGUCUUUACUACAUUGUAUAGCUGAGUUUAUGAAGACAUAUAGCUGAGAGGCAGCAGUGACAGAAAUGUAAGAGAAGCAAAUCCAGAAUUUAAAACAGACAAAUCUCUGCUUCUUCUGUCUUCUGUUGUUGGUAAAAUCCCAUUUUCCUCCCCCCCAAAAAAAACAACACAACAGAAGCCAAGGCAGCACGGGACGCUAGCUAGAAAACUAACAUACAGUAUAACUAGCUGCAUUAAAGUGCCAGCGUUAGAGUGCAAGGUGAUUAGCUAGUUUACUGGAAAGCUAGCUGGCUUGCUCACACGCCAAAACUCAACUGCCUCUAAAGCUAGCAGCAUCACUAGCUUUUUAAGUACAAAUUUAAAACACAACUCUUAUCAUUUUAGGUGGAUCAAACAGGAACUGAAUAUAUAAAUGUGCUUUAAAUGUGGCUCUAUCAUUAUAUAUGGCACCAGAUACUAGCUAGAAAACUACCAUAUCACUAGCUGCAUUACAGUGCCAUUACUAGCAUUCUGGAUAGUUUCUAGCUGCAAGCUUUACGCUGUGACCAAUAACAAGCUAGAAACUAUCCAGAAAACUAGCUGGGUUAGCCUACUAGCUUUGAUAGUUGCUAUAAGCUAGCUGACAGAAACAAAACUUUUUCAGGGCAAACACAAAUUGACGGUAUAAAUGUACUGUGUAACGUGGGAACAAAAUGUGAUAAUAUGAUUGUGCUGCUGAAAUUACAAGUACAAAAUCACUCAAAGCAUUACUUGCUUGGUAAGCUAGCUAGGUAUUUUGUUAGCAAGCUGGAUGCCCAAGCAGCUGUUGUCGUUACAAGCUAAAGCACUUGGUAUGUACGUAAGCUAGCUUGCCAAUUAAUUUGUGGCAAGAAAUUAAGCAAUUUAUUGGUAUUAAUGAUUUGGCUAGCGAGAUAAAAAUCAAACACAUUUGCCAUCAGUUAUUUUGGAGCGAUUUAUCAAAAAUUAUCCAGCUACAAAUUAUUUUAUUUUGGUUUCAUUUAUUGGUCACAGCUUAAAGUUGUAAAAGAGAGAGGCUGCAUGUUAUAUUUUGGAGCCUUCAGUAUUAGAAAUCAUUAUUACUAUCAAUUUAAUUGACUUGGGUAUGAAAUACUUGUGACAUGGAAUCCAAACCCUCCGUCUCUGUUAUGCCUCUCGUAUUGAAGUCUGCCCAUUAGUCCUGAAGGAAACUUUACAAAGAUGAGACUCAGCUGCCAAUUUAUACUCAAGAAAGAUAGAGGAUUUAAUGAACUUCGUCCACAUUCCCAGAGAUUCAGAAUAUACAUAAACAGUUUCUGCAGCAGACGAGGGACCUGAAGGUCUCAGCUCCUCAUGUAGCCACCGUGGUAUUGAAUCACUGAACCUCAGUUGUGAUAUUUAGACUUUUUUUUUAAUCUGAGAUCCACAUUAAAUGAUUUAUUUUGAUGUUUUUGGUGCUAGAAGGUGUUAAUACUUUUUAGUUCUAUGUUUGACUUGAAAUUCAAAGGUUCUGUUUUUAUUCAAGCCUCAAACUAUAGUUGAUCUGAACUCUGUAGCAUUUUAUUGGAGAGUUAUUCUUCUGCAGAAUGAACAGAUCUGAGACUGAGUGCUGACACAUCAGUGGCAUUAAUUGUAAUUUUGGAUUGACUGGAGUUGAACAGCUUCAUCGGUCAGAAUGAAGUGUUCUACAGUCUGCUGUGUCCUGACAGUAGCUGUGAGUAUUUAACCUGUACACAUACUGUCCCAGUGUUUUCAUACAUGCAUUAAGUACUGUAGUUCUAAAGGUUGCUACAGCAGCAUUUCAUCUCUUCUCUGUUCCUACUAAUGCUUUCGUCUGUCGCUGUUAAGAACCAUAAUAAACUGGACACCUCAGUUUACUGCUGAUCGUAUAACAAAGUAUUCUCAUUGGAUUCAGAUCAUUUCUGUGAAAAUCAUCUUGCAGAAUUGAAAACUAGCUGCAGGGAGACGUUCAAAUGUCCUCCUUGGUGAUGCAUUCAAGAUCCUUUAACAUCUAAUAACUGACCUUGUGUCAAGCUGUAAGUAUUGUGACACACAAUACUCACAGUAACAGUUAUUUUGUCAGUAAUAGUCCCAAAACCGUUCUUGUAUGUUGAAACACCAGUGUGCAAUUUUUAACACAUAUAUUAUACACAUAUACACACACACACACAUAUACGUGUGUGUGUGUGUGUGUGUGGGUGUGUGUGUGUGUGUGUGUGUGUGUGUGUGUGUGUGUGUGUGUGUGUGU